This 404-nucleotide ribosomal RNA is filed under the name Fusobacteriota bacterium. RNAcentral's name for it is "Fusobacteria bacterium partial 16S ribosomal RNA". It matches the Rfam family "Bacterial small subunit ribosomal RNA", at positions 355 to 776 of the family's 1533-position model. Lineage: Bacteria; Fusobacteriati; Fusobacteriota. The record is from RNAcentral.
UGGGGAAUAUUGCACAAUGGAGGGAACUCUGAUGCAGCGACGCCGCGUGAGUGAUGAAGGAAUUCGUUUCGUAAAACUCUGUUCUAUGGGAAGAAAAGGACUGUACCAUAGGAGAAAGCUCCGGCUAAAUACGUGCCAGCAGCCGCGGUAAUACGUAUGGAGCGAGCGUUGUCCGGAAUUAUUGGGCGUAAAGGGUGCGCAGGCGGCCUUACAAGUUGGAUGUGAAAUAUUGUGGCUCAACCACAAACGUGCAUCCAAAACUGCAAAGCUUGAGUUAAGGAGAGGUAAGUGGAAUUCCUGGUGUAGCGGUGGAAUGCGUAGAUAUCAGGAGGAAUACCGGUGGCGAAGGCGACUUACUGGACUUAAACUGACGCUCAGGCACGAAAGCGUGGGGAGCAAACAGG